GUCCACGCCCUAAACGAUGUCAACUGGUUGUUGGACGGCUUGCUGUUCAGUAACGAAGCUAACGCGUGAAGUUGACCGCCUGGGGAGUACGGCCGCAAGGUUGAAACUCAAAGGAAUUUACGGGGACCCGCACAAUCGGUGGAUGAUGUGGUUUAAUUCGAUGCAACGCGAAAAACCUUACCUACCCUUGACAUGUCUAGAAGUUUCCAGAGAUGGAUUCGUGCUCGAAAGAGAACUAGAACACAGGUGCUGCAUGGCCGUCGU
This 264-nucleotide ribosomal RNA is filed under the name uncultured bacterium. RNAcentral's name for it is "partial 16S ribosomal RNA". It matches the Rfam family "Bacterial small subunit ribosomal RNA", at positions 793 to 1055 of the family's 1533-position model. The record is from RNAcentral.